Molecule: long non-coding RNA, 614 nt
Organism: Oenanthe melanoleuca
Lineage: Eukaryota; Metazoa; Chordata; Aves; Passeriformes; Muscicapidae
Exons: 3
Source: RefSeq, a predicted model, not a curated record
CGCACAGGUGCGAUUUUUUAAUUUUCCUUCAGAGCAGCUCCUGCCGCAUCGGCACAGCUCGUUCGGUACCGGCGCCGAGAGGAACAACAGCUUGAUGCAAGAGGACUUGAAAUUCUCUCUCCUUUUGAACUAACUCCUCCAGUAACCUGUGAAAUAAUGGGAACAAAGCACACAUUUCCUUCAGUAGCUUCAAAUUUGCAGGAAAGGAAAGAACUUACUAUACCUAAAAUGGAAAUCUUCCUGACAAAGACAACAACAGACUUCUUCAGUUUGCACAGCCUGCCCAGCUGGACACUCAGAGAUCUCUGAGCAGCCUGGGAGUCAUGGGACACUGUAGAGCUGAGUGUGCUUACACCUGAGGUAGCUACUGCAUCUUCCAAGACAAUGCAAGGCUGCUGGAUGGUUUGAUUCUGAGGCUGUUCAUCUUGAUCUUCAACUUCUAUAUCAUCUUGAUCGGCUGUGUCACUUUCAGAUGCAAGACUAAAAUGUGGCCUCAGUUCUAUUAGGAUACAAGCAAAAGAAAAAAACACCAAGGAUGUUAAACAUUAGUUGAAUAUUAAAACAAAAGCAGACCCAAGUGACUAUUACAGAUGGUCCUAUGGGUUUGGUUACAA